GUUUCCAAGACAACAGCCAUUGCCAGCCAAAACCUUUACUCCUCAAGAAAUCAAGACCAAAACCGUCACUCCUUAAAUGAAAACCUUCAGCCGUCCUUCCAUAAACAAUGGCCACCGUCGAUCAGCCAAAAACAUAGAAAAAUAGAAACCAAAAAACUUUCACAAUGUAAAUUCGAAACUGAAAAUUUGGAGUUUCCUUUCGCCAAUUUCCUUUGGCCAAUUGUUCAC
This 228-nucleotide long non-coding RNA is filed under the name Olea europaea (common olive). Its description in RNAcentral is "long non-coding RNA (OEUR_LNC004094)". The record is from RNAcentral. Lineage: Eukaryota; Viridiplantae; Streptophyta; Magnoliopsida; Lamiales; Oleaceae.